Molecule: non-coding RNA, 799 nt
Organism: Elaeis guineensis (African oil palm)
Lineage: Eukaryota; Viridiplantae; Streptophyta; Magnoliopsida; Arecales; Arecaceae
Source: RefSeq, a predicted model, not a curated record
CCUCUUUUUUCAUGGUUCUGGUUUUCCGAUGCUCGCUUUCUUUGAUACUUUUCUCGAAUCGUGUUGAUUUGUUUGAAUAUAUAGUUCUUCGUGAUAUCUGUGUUGGUGAUCUGGUCCGAGAUUUGAGUUGAUAUUGCUUAGAUCGAUGGUUUUCUAUUUCUUCUUUAUGGUAACAAACCCAAGAGGUUGGUGAAUUGAUUUCUGAUGUUUUCGUGAGCUUACAUAGCAUAGCGGAUGGGAUGAGCCUUUGUGGUUUCAUGAUUUAUCAACAAACUUAGGCUGCGUUUUGUAUGGUUCUACUUCUUUUUUUUAAUUUAAAGAAAGUAGAAACAGAUUUUUUUCCCCCUGAUUUCUGACAAUAGAAAAUAUCCCCUCCCCCUUUUUUUAAUAAGACAAAUGAUAGACCAUGAUGAAAGUUGGAAGCAUGGAACCGAACAAGCAUCAAGAGGGCUUUUCUGUUGGAUGAUGAAGGAGGAUGGAUGCUGGGAACGGAUGAAAGGACAUCGAGAACAAAAGAACGGAUGGAUGAGAGCAGAAGAUGGACAUGGGCAACGAACGGAUGAAUUGAAGAGGUGGCUGGAUUGAGAAGGACGGUGGCGGGGCAGCAGAGGAAGUCACCAGAGUGGUGGAUGGCAGCGGGGAGGAGGAGGAGGGCAGUGAAGGCCUCGAAGAGGCGGAAGGGCAGAGCCAAGAUUGGAAGGUUGGGCGAAGGGGUUGAGAACAGGAUGAAACCUACUUUAAAAAAAGUGGAAGUGAAAAUUUUUUUGCUUCCACUUUUUAUAGAAAUAAUGAAAGUUCU